This 465-nucleotide ribosomal RNA is filed under the name uncultured bacterium. RNAcentral's name for it is "bacterial SSU rRNA". It matches the Rfam family "Bacterial small subunit ribosomal RNA", at positions 917 to 1382 of the family's 1533-position model. The record is from RNAcentral.
GGGCCCGCACAAGCGGUGGAGCAUGUGGCUUAAUUCGAGGCAACGCGAAGAACCUUACCUGGGCUUGAAAUAUAGUUGACAGUCCGUGAAAGCGGAUCUCCCUUCGGGGCAAUUAUACAGGUGCUGCAUGGCUGUCGUCAGCUCGUGCUGUGAAGUGUUCGGUUAAGUCCGGCAACGAGCGCAACCCGUAUCUUCAGUUGCCAUCACGUAAUGGUGGGGACUCUGAAGAGACUGCCUGUGUUAAGCAGGAGGAAGGCGCGGAUGACGUCAAGUCAGUAUGGCCCUUACGUCCAGGGCUGCACACGUGCUACAAUGGGGGGUACAAUGGGACGCAAUGCCGCGAGGCGGAGCAAAUCCACAAAACCUCCCUUAGUUCGGAUUGUAGUCUGCAACUCGACUACAUGAAGUCGGAAUCGCUAGUAAAGGCGUAUCAGCUACGACGCCUUGAAUACGUUCCCGGGCCUU